Molecule: ribosomal RNA, 1140 nt
Filed under: Segatella copri
Lineage: Bacteria; Pseudomonadati; Bacteroidota; Bacteroidia; Bacteroidales; Prevotellaceae
Description: bacterial SSU rRNA
Rfam family: Bacterial small subunit ribosomal RNA
Source: RNAcentral
CUGAACCAGCCAAGUAGCGUGCAGGAUGACGGCCCUAUGGGUUGUAAACUGCUUUUAUAAGGGAAUAAAGUGAGUCUCGUGAGACUUUUUGCAUGUACCUUAUGAAUAAGGACCGGCUAAUUCCGUGCCAGCAGCCGCGGUAAUACGGAAGGUCCGGGCGUUAUCCGGAUUUAUUGGGUUUAAAGGGAGCGUAGGCCGGAGAUUAAGCGUGUUGUGAAAUGUAGACGCUCAACGUCUGCACUGCAGCGCGAACUGGUUUCCUUGAGUACGCACAAAGUGGGCGGAAUUCGUGGUGUAGCGGUGAAAUGCUUAGAUAUCACGAAGAACUCCGAUUGCGAAGGCAGCUCACUGGAGCGCAACUGACGCUGAAGCUCGAAAGUGCGGGUAUCGAACAGGAUUAGAUACCCUGGUAGUCCGCACGGUAAACGAUGGAUGCCCGCUGUUGGUCUGAAUAGGUCAGCGGCCAAGCGAAAGCAUUAAGCAUCCCACCUGGGGAGUACGCCGGCAACGGUGAAACUCAAAGGAAUUGACGGGGGCCCGCACAAGCGGAGGAACAUGUGGUUUAAUUCGAUGAUACGCGAGGAACCUUACCCGGGCUUGAAUUGCAGAGGAAGGAUUUGGAGACAAUGACGCCCUUCGGGGCCUCUGUGAAGGUGCUGCAUGGUUGUCGUCAGCUCGUGCCGUGAGGUGUCGGCUUAAGUGCCAUAACGAGCGCAACCCCUCUCCUUAGUUGCCAUCAGGUCAAGCUGGGCACUCUGGGGACACUGCCACCGUAAGGUGUGAGGAAGGUGGGGAUGACGUCAAAUCAGCACGGCCCUUACGUCCGGGGCUACACACGUGUUACAAUGGCAGGUACAGAGAGACGGUCCUUUGCAAAACGGAUCAAAUCCUUAAAGCCUGUCUCAGUUCGGACUGGGGUCUGCAACCCGACCCCACGAAGCUGGAUUCGCUAGUAAUCGCGCAUCAGCCAUGGCGCGGUGAAUACGUUCCCGGGCCUUGUACACACCGCCCGUCAAGCCAUGAAAGCCGGGGGCGCCUAAAGUCCGUGACCGUAAGGAGCGGCCUAGGGCGAAACUGGUAAUUGGGGCUAAGUCGUAACAAGGUAGCCGUACCGGAAGGUGCGGCUGGAACACCUCCUUU